CCUACGGGGGGCAGCAGUGGGGAAUAUUGCGCAAUGGGCGAAAGCCUGACGCAGCGACGCCGCGUGAGGGAUGAAGGUCUUCGGAUCGUAAACCUCUGUCAGCAGGGAAGAACGGUCACUGUGCUAAUCAGCAGUGAAUUGACGGUACCUGCAAAGGAAGCACCGGCUAACUCCGUGCCAGCAGCCGCGGUAAUACGGAGGGUGCGAGCGUUAAUCGGAAUUACUGGGCGUAAAGCGCUCGUAGGCGGUAUGUCAAGUCAAGGGUGAAAUCCCCGCGCUCAACGGGGGAACUGCCUUUGAAACUGGCAGACUGGAGUGUGUGAGAGGAUAGUGGAAUUCCAGGUGUAGGAGUGAAAUCCGUAGAUAUCUGGAGGAACAUCAGUGGCGAAGGCGACUAUCUGGCACAUAACUGACGCUGAGGAGCGAAAGCGUGGGUAUCAAACAGGAUUAGAUACCCGUGUAGUC
RNAcentral lists this ribosomal RNA (465 nucleotides) under uncultured bacterium. RNAcentral describes it as "partial 16S ribosomal RNA". It matches the Rfam family "Bacterial small subunit ribosomal RNA", at positions 338 to 795 of the family's 1533-position model. The record is from RNAcentral.